Molecule: ribosomal RNA, 253 nt
Filed under: uncultured bacterium
Lineage: Bacteria
Description: partial 16S ribosomal RNA
Rfam family: Bacterial small subunit ribosomal RNA
Source: RNAcentral
UACGUAGGGUGCAAGCGUUACUCGGAAUCACUGGGCGUAAAGCGUGCGUAGGCGGCUUUGCAAGUCAGGGGUGAAAUCCCAUAGCUUAACUAUGGAACUGCCUUUGAAACUGCAAAGCUAGAAUGUGAGAGGGGAUGGCGGAAUUCCUAAUGUAGAGGUGAAAUUCGUAGAUAUUAGGAGGAACACCCGUGGCGAAAGCGGCCAUCUGGAUCACAAUUGACGCUGAUGUACGAAAGCGUGGGUAGCAAACAGG